UGUUUGGGGAUUAAUGGGAUCACCCGGGAGCCCUUGUAAAGUGUGAGAGAAUGCGUGUGAUAGACAGUGGUUAGUCUUCUGUUGUAGUUUGUAGGACUCCUGGAAGCCUGCACUUUCCACAAAAGCUAAAAUCCAAGAGGUGGGUUGUCACUGUGGUGGGGAUGGAUGCCCACAUGAUCCAUGGGCUUCUCUUGGCCUUCAUGCCCUGAGGGGUUGGGGCAAACUGUGUCCGUCUACACUGCUGUGUGUUACCACAUACACAAAAUAAAAAUGGCUGUUGACUUUAUAUCUCCCAAA
This is a long non-coding RNA of Mastomys coucha (southern multimammate mouse), 297 nucleotides long. RefSeq lists it as uncharacterized. Lineage: Eukaryota; Metazoa; Chordata; Mammalia; Rodentia; Muridae. The transcript has 2 exons. The record is from RefSeq and is a predicted model, not a curated record.